AUUCAAUGAUUCGGAACACUGCUCAUGUAAUCGGUGAAUCUUUCUCAUGCAUCACUAAUUAAUUCUCUAGGUGUAUCCAUAAAAUUAUGAAUUUUAUCUUUCAGCUU
Small nucleolar RNA from Solanum pennellii, 107 nucleotides. The record is from RefSeq and is a predicted model, not a curated record. NCBI's taxonomy places the organism in Eukaryota, Viridiplantae, Streptophyta, Magnoliopsida, Solanales, Solanaceae.